CAGACCUCUAAUCGGAAAAGACUACCCGCUGAGUUUAAGCAUAUCACUAAGCGGAGGAGAAGAAACUAACCAGGAUU
Molecule: ribosomal RNA, 77 nt
Filed under: Scorpidium scorpioides
Lineage: Eukaryota; Viridiplantae; Streptophyta; Bryopsida; Hypnales; Amblystegiaceae
Also listed under: 3 other names
Description: partial 25S ribosomal RNA
Rfam family: Eukaryotic large subunit ribosomal RNA
Source: RNAcentral